UACGUAGGUGGAAAGCGUUGUCCGGAAUUAUUGGGCGGAAAGCGCGCGCAGGUGGUUCCUUAAGUCUGAUGUGAAAGCCCACGGCUCAACCGUGGAGGGUCAUUGGAAACUGGGGAACUUGAGUGCAGAAGAGGAAAGUGGAAUUCCAAGUGUAGCGGUGAAAUGCGUAGAGAUUUGGAGGAACACCAGUGGCGAAGGCGACUUUCUGGUCUGUAACUGACACUGAGGCGCGAAAGCGUGGGGAGCAAACAGG
This 253-nucleotide ribosomal RNA is filed under the name uncultured bacterium. Its description in RNAcentral is "partial 16S ribosomal RNA". It matches the Rfam family "Bacterial small subunit ribosomal RNA", at positions 524 to 776 of the family's 1533-position model. The record is from RNAcentral.